AUCAAGAGCUGGAGGCUCAACCUACUGAGCCACCCAGAUGCAAAGAUUUGGAGGCCUUGAGUCUUGCCCUUUUCAACAGCCUGCUUCCAUGGCAACAGAACCUAUUAGAAGCAACCUUGUCACCACAACUGUAGGCCCAAAUAAUUUUGCAGAAAAGAUAAAAAGUCCUGGGGCACCUGGCUGGCUCAGUCAAUAGAGCAUGU
Long non-coding RNA from Prionailurus viverrinus (fishing cat), 203 nucleotides. RefSeq lists it as uncharacterized. The record is from RefSeq and is a predicted model, not a curated record. The transcript is spliced from 3 exons. NCBI's taxonomy places the organism in Eukaryota, Metazoa, Chordata, Mammalia, Carnivora, Felidae.